RNAcentral lists this unclassified non-coding RNA (331 nucleotides) under soil metagenome. RNAcentral's name for it is "partial contains 5.8S ribosomal RNA, internal transcribed spacer 2, and large subunit ribosomal RNA". The stretch from base 1 to 120 matches the Rfam family "5.8S ribosomal RNA", at positions 35 to 154 of the family's 154-position model. The record is from RNAcentral.
GAUGAAGAACGUAGCGAAAUGCGAUAAGUAAUGUGAAUUGCAGAAUUCAGUGAAUCAUCGAAUCUUUGAACGCACAUUGCGCCCCCUGGUAUUCCGGGGGGCAUGCCUGUUCGAGCGUCAUUUCACCACUCAAGCCUCGCUUGGUAUUGGGCAACGCGGUCCGCCGCGUGCCUCAAAUCGACCGGCUGGGUCUUCUGUCCCCUAAGCGUUGUGGAAACUAUUCGCUAAAGGGUGUUCGGGAGGCUACGCCGUAAAACAACCCCAUUUCUAAGGUUGACCUCGGAUCAGGUAGGGAUACUCGCUGAACUUAAGCAUAUCAAUAAGCGGAGGA